AAGUGGCGCACGGGUGAGUAACACGUACGCAAUCUGCCUUGUGCAGGAGGAUAGCCCUGGGAAACUGGGCGUAAUACUCCAUGGUAUUGUCCAAUUGCAUGAUUGGAUAAUUAAAGCUACGGCGGCACGAGAUGAGCGUGCGUCUGAUUAGGUAGUUGGUGAGGUAACGGCUCACCAAGCCGACGAUCAGUAAGGGGCGUGAGAGCGUGGCCCCUCACACGGGUACUGAGACACGGACCCGACUCCUACGGGAGGCAGCAGUAAGGAAUAUUGGACAAUGGGCGGAAGCCUGAUCCAGCCAUCCCGCGUGCAGGAUGACGGCCCUAUGGGUUGUAAACUGCUUUAGACUGGAAAGAAAGUUGCGGAUUUAUCUGUAAUUGACGGUACCAGUAGAAUAAGCACCGGCUAACUCCGUGCCAGCAGCCGCGGUAAUACGGAGGGUGCAAGCGUUAUCCGGAAUUACUGGGUUUAAAGGGUGCGUAGGCUGCUAUGUAAGUCAGAGGUGAAAGCCCGCCGCUUAACGGUGGAACUGCCUUUGAUACUGCAUAGCUUGAAACAGGUUGAGGUCGGCGGAAUGUGACAUGUAGCGGUGACAUGCAUAGAUAUGUCAUAGAACACCAAUUGC
RNAcentral lists this ribosomal RNA (625 nucleotides) under uncultured organism. RNAcentral describes it as "bacterial SSU rRNA". It matches the Rfam family "Bacterial small subunit ribosomal RNA", at positions 93 to 716 of the family's 1533-position model. The record is from RNAcentral.